RNAcentral lists this microRNA precursor (144 nucleotides) under Podarcis lilfordi (Lilford's wall lizard). Lineage: Eukaryota; Metazoa; Chordata; Lepidosauria; Squamata; Lacertidae. The record is from RNAcentral.
UGGCCAGUGAUGGCCAAACUUGGCCCUCCACCUAUUUUGGGACUACAACUCCCAUCAUCCCUAUCUAACAGGACCAGUGGUCAGGGAUGAUGGGAAUUGUAGUCCCAAAACAGCUGGAGGGCCAUGUUUGGCCAUCACUGCUCU